GUGACUGAACGAAAAUCCGUCAUUUCCGUUCGCGGCUCACACAUACCGUCUGACUGUCACCAGUGGGGACGAAGAAAAGAUUCCGACUGCCACGCUCGCUGCAUCGGUGGAGUGCUCCUGGACAACAAAAGGCUGGGCCGGAAAGCGAGGUCUCGGAUAAACCCAUCGUGUUCGUAAGACGGGAAAAAGUGCCACGCAGCCGAUAAAUCGCCAGAUCAUCAGGAGAGGAAACUCCAAACAUAGCUCAAGACAAGGGUUGACCAUUCGGUUUGCCGUGACCGAAUAAGACCGAGCGGGGUACACACCAAGAGCAGCAGAGGACUUGAGGCGGCACGGAAGGGACUUCUCCACAGUUACGGGUGCGGAUAAAUUCCCCCGCGCGGAGUGUGCUCGAGCGAAGUUCAUUGAGCAAGCCAGGCAGAACGUGCAUAGGAUCCAGCAUACGGAAAUUUCCUACCACAACGGAUAGCGACCGGUAGCCAACGUAUCAAACAUUCGCCGUACAAGAGAGCCUCCUAGGAGGCUCUUGUUUGGGAAUUGUUUUCGUUGCGGAUUUUGGCGGAAACGGCACUCGGCGCCGACUGGAUCAAGCCGUGCAAACAGAGGUGGCUUGAGGUGCGAUCGACGGGCGACUCAAGGUGCGAUUUUGGCAGCAAGCCAUUCUCUCCCGACGAUUGCAGUCCGGGAACAGGAUCACACCCGCGCUGUGCACCAAGGCAUUUCAGGACUCAGUCAAAGUGGCGACCGAUGUGCGGUCCAAGUUUUUCCCCUAGUCGGCAUCAAUAGCGGGAGCAGUGCAGGUACGGGCUCAUGGAGCGGUGUGUUUGCGAGGUGGCCG
This is a long non-coding RNA of Armigeres subalbatus, 838 nucleotides long. RefSeq lists it as uncharacterized. NCBI's taxonomy places the organism in Eukaryota, Metazoa, Arthropoda, Insecta, Diptera, Culicidae. The record is from RefSeq and is a predicted model, not a curated record. The transcript is spliced from 4 exons.